UGGAAGUCGGUAUGGUCCAAUAAAUAAAUACAAAUCGUGGCUUACCAAAAACUGCUGCACAGCACGGCAAACACAUAGUGUAAGCGUGACUGCUUUCAAACCGUGCUAAUAUACAGUGAUGGCUUGACACAUAUAUAAAACAAACUGAAGAUAAUUUAGAAGUUAGAGGAACUUUGUAGUAUGGUCAAAAUCACUAAGGAGAGCCUCUGUUCUGCCUUUUUUUGCCACCUGCCACGCAUGCUUUUUGCUAUCAUUGCACACUGCGUAUGCUCAACCCAUCUGCUAUGGAAAUAGCUACCCAACACCAACCAAGAGACGAAAAAGAUUGAGAAGCCACCAAUGCUGAAUGGCUGUGUGGGAGGGACUGUCCUUCUGUUGUGGUGACUGGUACAAGACUGGUACAGCAUUCAAUGUGUUGAAACCCCAAGAGGCAAUGAUGUCUGUCCAGCUGGACACACACACACACACACACACACACAUACUGGAGAGAGCACUGGCUCCAGCUGGUCACACACACACACACACACACUCUGAUGUUGUUGUCCAGCACAGGGCUCUACCAGGGACUGAGUGCUGGGAUUUCAGGGAUUUCAGAUGGCUGUAUCACAUCAAUACCAGCCAAUUGUAUUAUUUUAGGCUCAGCUCACCGCUACCACCCCCGUGCUGACGACGAACACACGCUGUCCUCCGAAAUGUGUGCCAUCAGCCGACCGCUUUUUUUUCAUUCUGCAGGCCCGGCAUGCAGCCACCUCAGAGCUACAGCGUCGGAGGACAACACAGCUUUGGGCAGUUUACGUGCAAGCCCGCAGGCACCCAGCCAGCCUGCAGGGGUCGCUGGUGAGCGGUGAGCCAAGGACACUCUGGCCGACCUUUUAUCCCUCCCAACCCAGCCGACGCUCGGCCAAUAGUGCGCUGCCCCUUGGGAGCUCUCGUCCACGGUCGGCAGUGGAAUAGCCUGGACUCGAACCGGAGACCUCCAGGCUAUAGGGCGCAUCCUACGCUCUGUGUGGAGCGCCUUUACCGGUUCAGCCGCUCGGGAACCCCAGCGUUGUAUUAUUAAUAAAGGAUGUACAAUGCGUUUCAACUUAUUAUACAUAGAUUGGAAAUAAAAUUGAAGAUGACAAAAUUAAAUUAGCCUUUUAUAUGAAUGUACAUUUACAUACAUACAGUACAUACAUAAAUACACACAUACAUGCAUGAUGUUAGCCAGAGUGAGGCAAUGACCCCGGUAUUACAAUAUGCAGUUUGUCCCCUUUGUCUCCCAAUAUAUUCUGUCCAGAACAUUCCAAUGUGUUGGCAGGCAGUCUGAAGAACGGUGGGCUGGGAAGGAGUCCUGGUUCAUAUUUCAUGAACCACCUUAAGAAGAGCCCUGUCCCUGGGGAGGGGGCUGCGUUUGUGUAAGUGCGCUGAUGCCUCUCCGGUGCUCACUGAAGCAGCUUGGUGCUAAUGCACCCUGCCACAGUCUCCAGCACAAAGUGACAAUGUGACCUGGCUGUGCGCAGUGACCACACCCUGACCCCGCUCCGCAGAGACACACCGAGGAGGAGAUGGGGACAGAGAGAGAAAGAGACUGUCCUGCUUCAGAGGAGGGGGUGAGGAGAGCAAGAGAGACGUAGAGAGCUGUUGUGAGAGGGAAGU
Molecule: long non-coding RNA, 1638 nt
Organism: Acipenser ruthenus (sterlet)
Lineage: Eukaryota; Metazoa; Chordata; Actinopteri; Acipenseriformes; Acipenseridae
Exons: 3
Source: RefSeq, a predicted model, not a curated record